UGCCUAACACAUGCAAGUCGAACGGGCAUUUUGUAGCAAUACAGAGUGUCAGUGGCGCACGGGUGAGUAACACGUGGGUAAUCUGCCCCCAAGAUUGGGACAACUCCGCGAAAGCGGGGCUAAUACCAAAUGAGACCACGUCCUCGAAAGAGGAUGCGGCUAAAGAUGGCCUCUACUUGUAAGCUAUCACUUGAGGAUGAGCCUGCGUCCCAUCAGCUAGUUGGUAAGGUAAUGGCUUACCAAGGCUAUGACGGGUAGCUGGUCUGAGAGGACGACCAGCCACACUGGAACUGAGACACGGUCCAGACUCCUACGGGAGGCAGCAGUGGGGAAUAUUGGACAAUGGGCGCAAGCCUGAUCCAGCAACGCCGCGUAGGUGAUGAAGGCUUUCGGGUCGUAAAGCCC
RNAcentral lists this ribosomal RNA (405 nucleotides) under uncultured organism. RNAcentral describes it as "bacterial SSU rRNA". It matches the Rfam family "Bacterial small subunit ribosomal RNA", at positions 45 to 433 of the family's 1533-position model. The record is from RNAcentral.